AUGGCUCAAAAAAACAAAAACAAACAAAAAACACUAAAUACAUUUUUUUUUUUAAAUAUUAGGGAUGCACUGAUAUUAAAAUUGACUAGCUCAUUUAAACUGUGUGAUCUAGUCACCACUUCAGAAUCUGCUCACUUUGACGAAUCUGCAGAGGUAGUAAUCCAUGGUGAAUCAUACCCACAACCUGCUUAUAACCCAUCAUCAAUCCAGCACACUCUGGAAACAUACAGCCAUUUGCUGGAUGUAACAUUAGAACAGAAUUUAGAGCCCAUUCAACACUUUGCACAGACGACAGCCAAAGCUAUUAUAGAUUCAGCCGUCAGGAUCAGAAACCCAAGAGAAUCCGUCAAAGUGAGAGAGGAUGAUGUUGAAAUGCUAGCUGAAGAGUUAACCUUACAAGUCUGUUGCAAAGCAUUGGAAGAGAUGGAGAGACAUUAUCACUGUGAUGAUCCAUCAUCCAAAAGUACGGAUGAUAAGGGGGUUGUGGAGGGGACUUAUGGAAAUGCAUCGGUCCUGUGCUCUUCGGGGUACAACUGUGAUAAAAAAACAACUGAAAUGGAAACAGACAACAAGAUGGAGGAAUAUGAUGACACAUCUACCACAGUAUAUGCUAAUUCCUUGAAGAGCAUGGCUAAUCUGGGCUCUAUUGAGUACCCUGAUGCUCCUCCUAGCACCCCUUUACUUCCAGAGAUGAUAAGGAGUCGAGCCAGUUUCACAAGGAAGCUAAAGGGAGGACUGGCUAAAGAGUUCCUUCCUUCAACCCCUCCACCAACCCCCAAAGACCACAUGCAACCAGUAAUGGAGAACCAUAUGACAGACACAUCUGCUGACUUCAUAGUGAGACUGAUGCGCUCACUUUCACUGGAGUGCUGUCAAAACGAAGGCUUAGAAGAAAGCGAGGAUGGAGAAGUUAAUGAUGGCGGACUCCAAAAUGAUGUUCCCAGGCUGACUGACUAUGCAGCUCAUAUUUCUGCAGAUAUCCUUCAUUUUAUCACCACAAAUGAGAUAAAAGUAAAGGAUGAGGGUUAUGUGAAAAGCAUGUUGGCUAUUGCUGACCAACUAGCGAGUGAAAUAGUCACAGCGUCUCUAGCAGAGGUGAUGGCGAGAGGAGAAAGGAAGGUUUUGGAGGAAGGAACAACAUCAUACUCAAUGUAUAAAGUAGACAUGGCUCCAGACACAAGGGCUAUGAUCUCUGCAACAGACAGGGUGAAAGUUUUAGCUAGUGAGCUAAUCAUUAACGCUAUGGUUCAUGCUUUUGCUAAGCUAGGACAGGGUGUGUUUAAACAUGGAACCCAGCCACAUCUUUCAAGCCAAGCUGUAGAACCACAGCCAUGGGAAGAAGGAAGAUAUUCAAACACAUUGUGUAAAGACUCAGUCAACUCCCACAAAGCCAAAACCUUCAGAUGUUGCAGCGAUAAAUCAGAACUGAACCCCAUUACAGAUGACGCCAUGAAAGUGAAAUCAUCGGUACACACAUUUGCCAACAACUUUGCAGAAGACGUGCUUCAGCAUUCUGUGUGUGACGCUUCCAGCAUACUGUUUAACUAUAAGCAAUCUCAGGGAGCAGAAUUUGGCCCAGAGAAAGACAUUACACCAUGGGUAAUCAAGAUGCGUGCUGGGGAAAGUCUUGUCCAGGAACUGCAAUGUGCUCUACUCUGGGCCACAGCCUCUCAGAAAGGGACUAAAGCACUUCAGUUUGAUCUACCAGACAAAAGCCUUCAGCAAAAGCUUUGCAGACUCUCUCGGAGUGCCCGUCUGAAUGGCUGGACCGUGGGUGCUUUGAUUGUGUCUCUCCAUGAGUUUUGUGACAUGCAGCAAGAGACCAGCGGAGGGCACUAUAAGAGCUCCGAUUCUCUCCUGGAGCAUCUGCAGCACCUGAUUGACAAUGUGUGUUUAAACUCAUCUUGA
Long non-coding RNA from Cyprinus carpio (common carp), 1908 nucleotides. The record is from Ensembl. Lineage: Eukaryota; Metazoa; Chordata; Actinopteri; Cypriniformes; Cyprinidae.